RNAcentral lists this ribosomal RNA (448 nucleotides) under uncultured bacterium. RNAcentral describes it as "bacterial SSU rRNA". It matches the Rfam family "Bacterial small subunit ribosomal RNA", at positions 328 to 793 of the family's 1533-position model. The record is from RNAcentral.
ACUCCAGACUCCUACGGGAGGCAGCAGUGGGGAAUAUUGCACAAUGGGGGAAACCCUGAUGCAGCGACGCCGCGUGAGUGAGGAAGUAUUUCGGUAUGUAAAGCUCUAUCAGCAGGGAAGAAAAUGACGGUACCUGACUAAGAAGCCCCGGCUAACUACGUGCCAGCAGCCGCGGUAAUACGUAGGGGGCAAGCGUUAUCCGGAUUUACUGGGUGUAAAGGGAGCGUAGACGGCUAAUCAAGUCAGAAGUGAAAACCCAGGGCUCAACCUUGGGACUGCUUUUGAAACUGAGUAGCUAGAGUGCAGGAGAGGUAAGCGGAAUUCCUAGUGUAGCGGUGAAAUGCGUAGAUAUUAGGAGGAACACCAGUGGCGAAGGCGGCCUGCUGGGCUUUUACUGACGCUGAGGCUCGAAAGUGUGGGGAGCAAACAGGAUUAGAUACCCGUGUAA